Long non-coding RNA from Lolium perenne, 477 nucleotides. RefSeq lists it as uncharacterized. The record is from RefSeq and is a predicted model, not a curated record. NCBI's taxonomy places the organism in Eukaryota, Viridiplantae, Streptophyta, Magnoliopsida, Poales, Poaceae.
ACCAUUCUUUCAGUGCAAAGAGUUAGUAAGUCGAUCGAGCAACAAGCAGUAAGAACCAAAAUGAGAGGGAGCGGCCGGAUACACAUGAUGGCCAUCUUAUUCAUGGGAUGGCUUGCGGUGACUGCACAGUGUCGCCUCGAGGCCGGAAGGAGCUAUCUAGACGACGGCCGUAAUGCUACCGUGGCCAACUCGGUAUCGCUAGAUGAUGGCAGCAAGAUUACCCUGCAAUUUUGUGUCAAUCGGCCAUGUGAGUUUCGCGAACACUGCUACUGCUGCAACACCCUCAAGACAGAGCCGUGCUUCAUGUCGCUGGAGGAGUGCCAGGCUAGUUGCCCUGCCUGCAAUGGCACGUGCCCGCCGCCUCAACCGACGAGAUAGAAUUACAUGCAUCAAUCAAUAAUGGGUUCUCAUCCCUAAAGAAAAAAAAAUCUCGUGCUAGACUUAAUCAAAUAGUAAUUUGUUUUUGUGGGAUCGACA